This 455-nucleotide ribosomal RNA is filed under the name uncultured Sphingomonadaceae bacterium. Its description in RNAcentral is "partial 16S ribosomal RNA". Lineage: Bacteria; Pseudomonadati; Pseudomonadota; Alphaproteobacteria; Sphingomonadales; Sphingomonadaceae. The record is from RNAcentral.
CACGGAGUUAGCCGGAGCUUAUUCUCCAGGUACUGUCAUUAUCACCCCUGGUAAAAGAGCUUUACAACCCUAAGGCCUUCAUCACUCACGCGGCAUUGCUGGAUCAGGCUUUCGCCCAUUGUCCAAUAUUCCCCACUGCUGCCUCCCGUAGGAGUCUGGGCCGUGUCUCAGUCCCAGUGUGGCUGAUCAUCCUCUCAGACCAGCUAAGGAUCGUCGGCUUGGUAGGCCAUUACCCCACCAACUACCUAAUCCUACGCGGGCUCAUCCCUCGGCGAUAAAUCUUUGGUCCGAAGACAUUAUAAGGUAUUAGCACAAAUUUCUCUGUGUUAUUCCCAACCGAAGGGCAGAUUCCCACGCGUUACGCACCCGUGCCGCCACUAGACCCGAAGGUCUCGUUCGACUUGCAUGUGUUAGGCAUGCCGCCAGCCGUUUGUUCUGAGCCAGGAUCAAACUCU